Cricetulus griseus (Chinese hamster) is the source of this 108-nucleotide ribosomal RNA. The record is from Ensembl. Lineage: Eukaryota; Metazoa; Chordata; Mammalia; Rodentia; Cricetidae.
GUCUAUGGCCAGACUACUCUGAACAUACUCUGAUCUCAGAAGCUAAUCAGGGUUGGGCCUGAUUAGUACUUAGAUGGGAGACCACUGGCAUAUUCAAUACUGUAGGUU